GACGAACGCUGGCGGCGUGCUUAACACAUGCAAGUCGAACGGAUUGCUUGGUGCUUGCACUGAGUGGUUAGUGGCGAACGGGUGAGUAACACGUGAGUAACCCGCCCCCUUCUUUGGGAUAAGCACCUGAAAGGGUGUCUAAUACUGAUUAUUCUGCUGGAAUCGCAUGGUUUUGGUUGGAAAGGUUUUUUCUGGUGGGGGAUGGGCUCGCGGCUUAUCAGCUUGUUGGUGGGGUAAUGGCUUACCAAGGCUUUGACGGGUAACCGGCCUGAGAGGGUGACUGGUCACAUUGGGACUGAGAUACGGCCCGGACUCCUACGGGAGGCAGCAGUGGGGAAUAUUGCACAAUGGACGAAAGUCUGAUGCAGCGACGCCGCGUGAGGGAUGAAGGCCUUCGGGUUGUAAACCUUUUUCGCUUUUGACCAAGGCAGCAUUUUGGUGUUGUUGAGGGUAUGAGGUAAAGAAGCUCCGGCUAACUACGUGCCAGCCGCCGCCGUAA
This 499-nucleotide ribosomal RNA is filed under the name uncultured bacterium. RNAcentral's name for it is "partial 16S ribosomal RNA". It matches the Rfam family "Bacterial small subunit ribosomal RNA", at positions 28 to 523 of the family's 1533-position model. The record is from RNAcentral.